UAACCACACUAAAGUGAAGUACGGGCCAAAUAAAUCGACUGCUAGUCCACACGCAGUCAUAAAACACAGGAAUUAGAGAGAGUACUGCGGAAGAGGGAUAACAAUGAAGAAAGCUGCUGCAUUUACGACAUCAACUCCAUCGUUUAUAACUAUUCGGAUUGGCGUAGUUCUCACAAUCAUUCUCCUCUACCUCAUUCCCCUGGCCUUCGCCAGCCGUCUUCUCUCCGGCAAAGAUGUGCACCUGCAAGGAACUUUUCCGUCCUUAGCUGGCCAAGCAGUCGCACGCAAUCUAGUACAAGUGGGUGGAGGAUAUCGUCAAGAUGGGGGGGGACAUGCGGGAUAGGGCCCACACCAUUAAAGUUCCUAAAGACGGCACUAUUUCAUCACAUGAUCAACUGCCCGAGGAGCUAGUAAUACAAACGGAUUAUGUAUACAAAGCUAAAGUAUUAAUUCUAUCAAAUUUCGUCCCAGUGAGUGAUUUUUACGACUCUUUUCCAAGAUCAUGCCGAAAGUAUGAGAUCUGAGAAAUUCGUAGUUCUUACAUUCUACAUGUAAGAUGUACGUUUAAAUAAGUCGUUAAUAUAAGGAGCUUAUAAAUAAGGUUUCGGUGUCUCACCGAUUUUGUGUAAGAUAAGUUACAAAAUAAUAAAAUUUCUUAAGGUUGAAUAAUAAGUUAUCCAGUUAUUUUAAUGCCAGUAAUGAAGUUACUGAACUGUCGUACCUGUCAUUUAACAAGUCACUUCAUUGACAAUCGCUGGAUAACCUGUGAUGCAUCUCAACUAUGUUUAAAGGGCCCCGAGUAAACUUUCUAGGUGCCCCUAGUCGAAGAUAAUCUCCACCUGUUACAUGAACUGAUUGAUGUUGGCUUUUUUGGUUUUUAUCCCCUUUUGAUAGGUAAUAUAGGACUUGUUCCCCCACCUUCUUUCGUCCAUUGUGCUUGUCUGUAAAUAUUAUCUUGAUAACAUUAGUAUUGUGCAUGUAUGCUGCACAUGCACUAUCUAUAAUAUCAAUUGCUUUAUCAAAAUGUUUCAUAUUAAACAUUAUUGUGUAAUGUGGAUUGUAUAUUAGAAAAAGGAAAAUGAAAGAAUAAAUCUCCAUUUGAAACUGUGCUUAUGCAGAUAUACAAUAAUCAUGAAAAAAUUUGAAUAAAAGGGAAAAUUUGGAAAAGUAAGAGAUAGCUGUGGGGCAAAAUUGCAAGAGUUCAUACUUUCAGGGCUCCAGUUAAAAGCCAGUCUAACGCAAUAAAUAGCCAAAUAAAUUAAAUACAUGAUAUACGUUCUGAACACCAGGAAAUAGAACGUACAUGAUUUCAGAAGACACUGAUGUGAACGAUAAUAUCCUUCAAAAGCUUCUUAUAGCUGAAACACGCAAGCAGUGUGUAGAUUUCAUGCAUGGAUCAUGGAUUUGGAGUAGGACACAUAUUUCCUUAUUCAAGUUUAGAUGGAUGUUUAUUUAUCUUAUACAAGGUAGGUUUCCCGUGCAUGCACAGGUUACUUUAUUAGUUACGUGCACAUCACGGUCUAAUAUAUUUGCAUAUAUAUCCGUUUAUUUGUAUUAUACUAAUAGAUAUGCACGCGUGUUGCGUAAUGAGAAUUAUCUUUAUUUAAAUUUCUAUUCUUCCUUUUGCUUUUAAAUUUUAAAUUUAAUAAGGCUUAUAAAUGCUAUUUGCAGAUGUUAUACAAUGCAUACACAGAUCAGAAAUUGAGGUAUCAGAAUACAAGAUCCGAAAGUUGAAAAUUCAAGAGCUCUUUCGGGAUAUCUUACAUUAAAUUAAUCCUAUUACUGGAGUAUAACUUGAUAUUUUCCUUUUUCCUCGAGUCAGUGAUCUACUUAUAUCAAAUUCACUGAUAAAAAAUUUACACAAUUUAGUGGCGAGAGAACUUUAAAUAAGACAUGGAGAAACUUGGUGCUAGCUUAAUAUAUUUAUUGAUUUAUUUACUAAAUUGAGAUUGCCGGUCAUAAAUCUAAUACUCUAUAUAGAAAAGGAGAAGUUCCAUCGUGUGUUUUCACUUUUUUUUUUAGGUGCCUUUUCGGUACUUAAAAUAACAAAGGCCUAGCAAACUGACAUGUGAUUUCAUUGGGCCUCCUCGCCUUAGAGGAGUAUAUUACUACUCUAUAUUCCCCUGCCUGCCUUCCCCCCCUUCCCCCCAAAGCGCCGACCAAAUCUGUCUAACCCUCCCCCACGGGCAACCUACGAAUUGCGUCCAACCCCAUUCUCCAACCUUCCUUCCUUCUUGAUUUCCACCUUCGUAGCAUCUUUGUGUGCCCACUUCUUUUCCUCCAUCCAUUAUUGGUGCCUCCAUCCAUCUUGUUGCUAAGAACAACAUGUUGCCUCUUGAACAGUUUGGUUUUAAUCCUUAUUGAAAUUGAAUGCGCCUAAAAUGGUCGGAUCUAUGGGUCUGUGUGCUAAUGCAAAUGUUACCAUGAAUGGGCUGUCUACACAUGCCGUUUUGACCGUUUCAUCCUUAGGAUCUAUAACUACUCAAGCGUAUAUCAUCACGCCUCCAAUUCCUUCUAAAGGUUUUGUCUGUGAAUGCUAGGUUGAUUUAUAUAGAAUGCUGGUUGAUUUAUAUUGUAAAACGAGUUUUUUUUUUUUAAGAAUACGUCGUCUUUUCUAGGUUCUUAUAUCAUCAUGUACCUAUAUUGUCUUUUCUAGGCUUUUGAGCUGACUAAAAAGCUUUCCAAUUUUAUAGAGAUCUUGCCAUAUUCGGCAUAUGAAUAUAAGCAUUUAUUCUCUCCUUCACCUAUGAUGAACAUAGAAGAGUUAGAGGCUUGAAAUGCAGAUCUAAGGAUGACAUAGAAAAAUGAGAGUCAAGGAAAAAGGUAGUAUACUUUUCUGCUCUCUGAGUUAGCCUAUCUUUAUCUGUAGUUGUACUAUGUCUUAUCUAUCGUAUUCAGAUCUACACCAAAGAAUCAUUUUAUUGCUAUUUUUUUUUAAGAAAUACAAAUGCAUGAAUCAUCUUCUUACUCUCUGUUCUUCUUAUUUCUUUCCUUUCUAUGUCUCCUAUCUGAUAUCUGCCAUGUGGCUUCUUCCGACGUCCUCUUUGUGCUGAUGGAACUUCUCAUCCUGUAAAUGCAAUUUGACGACAAGGUUGGUGUUACCUUCGUCUUUGUUGUGGUUGAAUUUCUUGCCAUGAAUGGGCUCCUCAAAUUAUCAGCACUACGAUUCCACUUGCUCAUACUGGUGCUACUUAUUAGUCUAUUCCACCAUACUAUUGGCAGAAUACUAAAGGUCUUGAAACUUUGAUGCUGAUAUGGAAGAGGAUAGUCUUGUUGCAAGGCAUGCAAGUGUUUCUGAAGAUAAAGUUGCUGCUAAGGAUUACGCUUUAUCCUUAAUACACUGUAGAUCAAGAAAACUAAAGGCUGCCUACCCUGGUAUGGCUAUGGCUAUUAACAAAUAGAGGAGAAGAAAACAGGGAGGAACAAAAAAACAUGUAAGGGAAAUUGCUUAUCUUUGAUUCCUUGAAUGAUGAUCUCAUGUCAAAAUAUAAGCAAUUUCAGUGAUCCCCAUAGUACAAAGGGCUCCCGAGCUCAUAUGAUACUCAAAACGUAGGUUAAAUGUUCCAAAGAAGUGUUCGCCUGUCCUGUAGGAUAAGACAAGUGCAAGAUUCUCCAAGAUAAAAAGGUCAUUAGAAGGUGCAACAACCACACAUCAAAUUCAAAUUAUCAAAGGAGUUCGUGCAAACUUCCAUUCCAAGCUAGAUGUUGGAUAUAUGGAACGUAUAUGCCUCGCCAUAGUUUUCAAGUACUUUCGGUUCUUGGCACUCAAAUUUUCAGUUGUGUCGUGUUGGGCUUUUGCUGGCGGUAAUGAGAUAUCACUUACCUAUUAAAUAAAAA
Molecule: non-coding RNA, 3837 nt
Organism: Punica granatum (pomegranate)
Lineage: Eukaryota; Viridiplantae; Streptophyta; Magnoliopsida; Myrtales; Lythraceae
Source: RefSeq, a predicted model, not a curated record